CACCAGAAAACAGACCGGUUCGUAGACAGCUUCGAAUCGAGAGUAAAUAAGGAUGAUGAUUCAACAGUCUUGGAAAAUGCUAAAGAUUUAACUUCUCAGUACAAGCCAGGCCCACUCCUUGCCAAGCUGAAUUCUACUCUUCAGUAUGAUUAUGGCACCUCAUCUGGCCCUUCCAUCAUACAUCAUCCUGCCUUUCCUGAAUGGAGUCUUCUCAGCCUCUUCCCUAUGAGCUGACAGCAGGCAGAGCUUGCUGAGCAUGCUCUGGGAAUGGGCUGCCAUUGGCCAGAACCCCUGUUAUACUGUCCCCAAUUUCGUCCAGAGACUCUACUGUUCAGGCCUCCUCACUGACAUUAAGGGCAACUGACAUUUAGGACUUCUGGGUCCUGUUCAAUGACCUUUCUCUCUGUCUUCAUCCCACUCUGCUUCAUCAUGCACCCUAGGAGUUUUGUUGUCUUUCCAACAAGGGUGGGAUGGGGCUGUCAGAGCUGUCUGCCCCUUACCUGCUGCUCUCCACCUCUUGUUCAGGAGAACAUCAAUAACCGUUUGAUGGAUAUUGUUGACGCUGCAUAUCAGAAACAAAUUCAGAAAAAGACAGAAGUAAAGCAGCUGUUCUCUUCAGACAAGCUAAGAAGACUCCAGGAAAGACCUCCAAGGGCAGAUGUUCAUCCUAGAGUAAAGUGCAAACACCUCCAGGCCAACUCUGUAGAAACAACAAACAACAAACUGGGGGGCUGGGGUUGAGGGGUAGUCUCAGUCUUAGAAACUUUCAUCUCCUGGACAGUGUAGGGGUCUGGUGGCUGAGUAGGAGAAGAUUGAAGGACCUUCCACCAUUGAGGGACAUCAAGCACAGCUGUGCUGACCAGAUGUGUCUGGGGCUGGGCUGGUGCUGUGGGGGAGGAGUUGAACACCUGGUGAGUGCAGAAGCAGAGGGGCAGAGACCCUGCUGACUGUGGGCACUUGCUGGAAAGCAGAGUUCCUGGCUUCAAUUCCAGGCAAGAGAGGAAAGCUAUGGUUUGCAGCCACUGAAGGAACUGCAGGGAGGAAGGUCAUUUGUGGGACAGUGUGGCUGGGGUCCCUAGCUGUCCCCAAUUUCAUCCAGAGACUCUACUGUUCAGGCCUCCUCACUGACAUUAAGGGCAACUGACAUUUCUGGGUCCUGUUCAAUGACCUUCCUCUCUGUCUUCAUCCCACUCUGCUUCAUCAUGCACCCUGGGAGUUUUGUUGUCUUUCCAACAAGGGUGGGAUGGGGCUGUCAGAGCUGUCUGCCCCUUACCUGCUGCUCUCCACCUCUUGUUCAGGAGAACAUCAAUAACCAUUUGAUGGAUAUUGUUGACGCUGCAUAUCAGAAACAAAUUCAGGUGGGUCCCAAUCGCUCAGGAGUGGAGAAGAGAGCCCAAGGUUGAGCCCUGGGACAGAUCUCAGAAAAUAACAGUAAGAAAGACCUGAGGCUUGGUGCAUCAUUCCCCAUAACUUGGAGGACUAGAAUUUUAUCACACCAAUAGCUGCUAAAAACAAAUUAAAACAAAAAAAUGAAUAAAAAUGAGCAAGCAAAGGAGAAAGAACCUAUC
Long non-coding RNA from Vombatus ursinus (common wombat), 1568 nucleotides. The record is from Ensembl. NCBI's taxonomy places the organism in Eukaryota, Metazoa, Chordata, Mammalia, Diprotodontia, Vombatidae.